AUGUCGUGAUGAGGGCAUUUUAGUAAUAACUCCUUGAACUGCCUUCAUGCCUCAUAUAAAGAUUCUUCAUCAAGUUGUUGAAAUGAAGUAAUUUCAUUUCGGAUCUU
This 107-nucleotide small nucleolar RNA is filed under the name Gossypium hirsutum (cotton). RNAcentral describes it as "Plant small nucleolar RNA R71". It matches the Rfam family "Plant small nucleolar RNA R71". From Rfam's summary of the family: R71 is a member of the C/D box family of snoRNAs containing the C (UGAUGA) and D (CUGA) box motifs. Multiple nearly identical copies of this snoRNA have been identified in Arabidopsis, and it is thought to function as a 2'-O-ribose methylation guide for 18S ribosomal RNA. The record is from Rfam by way of RNAcentral. RNAcentral also lists the same sequence under 1 other name. Lineage: Eukaryota; Viridiplantae; Streptophyta; Magnoliopsida; Malvales; Malvaceae.